UGUAUUUUGGGCUAGUUUCAAGAAUUCAUAAGUUAUCUGUGUUCAAUAGAAAUAUUUAACACAAAAAAAUGUCUUGGUCUAUGAUCUUACUACUAACCAAUGACAAACUUGAUUGGCCUCCUUUUUACUUUUUGUGUUUCUGGAUAGGUAAUAAAAAAUCUAAUACCUGUAUUUAUUUAUUUAUCUUAAACCUAAUUCAAUAAUUCUUAUAAUUUACAAAUCUACAUAACAGCCACAACAACACACCAAAUGCUGAAUUUAGGUCUCCCUCAGUGAGUUCCUAGGUCAAACAAUUGAUUAAAACUUCACCUUUUUUUGUGCUUAAACAAUGUGAUGGUUCACUAGUCAAUAACAUUUAAACUUAGAAUGUCUUAUUGACAGUUUACAAUUUUAUAAAUAAUGGAUAUUGCUAACUAUAUUUUAUUAAAAUAUUAAAUAAAAUACAACCAGAACAAAAAUGCAUACUACAUGAAACUAACGAAACACCUUUUUGCCACCAUCAUAAACAAGAACUUACAACUAUUGCCACGUAUUACCAUGGGCUGUGGUUUUGCCUUAAUCAAAACUAGUAUAAUAUUUGGUGCGGGUCUUUACACUGGCGUGUAUGUAGCUCAAAACUACAAGGGUACCCUGACUGGAAUGUGUGUGAAACCAGAAGAGGGAAGUGAUAAAGCUACAAAAUCUAAAACCUGAUAGAUAAAGUUGAAGAUCCAAAGGUUUUGUUUGAAAGGGCACAAACUUUUGUGAAAGACAAACUAGCAGAAGUCGGCGACAAGAAAGAUAAAUGAUUGGAAACAUGGUGCAGCUUCGACAUAGGAUAAUUCAAUAAAUACAAACAGGUCACUCAAUAAGUUUAUUGUAAAUAUUUUAAGUAGUCCUAUAAAAUGAUAAACUGAAUAAAGUUAGCAAUAAAUAUACAA
Long non-coding RNA from Spodoptera frugiperda (fall armyworm), 920 nucleotides. RefSeq lists it as uncharacterized. NCBI's taxonomy places the organism in Eukaryota, Metazoa, Arthropoda, Insecta, Lepidoptera, Noctuidae. The record is from RefSeq and is a predicted model, not a curated record. The transcript has 4 exons.